Molecule: long non-coding RNA, 484 nt
Filed under: Salvia miltiorrhiza (redroot sage)
Lineage: Eukaryota; Viridiplantae; Streptophyta; Magnoliopsida; Lamiales; Lamiaceae
Description: long non-coding RNA (SMIL_LNC009375)
Source: RNAcentral
UUUUUGCGGUUUUUCCCACUGGGUUUUCUGCAAAAAGGUUUUAAUGAGGCUCGGCCCUUAGUCUGCUUUUCCUGUGCUUUCAAGGGUUUUUUCUAGGUUUUUUUCUUUUUCUUUUCUUUAAUAAAAAUCGCAGUUUAAUAAUGAGAGUUUGUACUUUUAGUUAUUUGCUCAAGUAAUUAUUUUUGUAAACAAAAUUAAUUAUUGAUGUGCAGAAAAGUAAUCUUAUUUUGAUUCGCCAGAAAAAAGCAACAAAAAAAAAAGAAACAAAAAAAGCGAAAAAAAGAAAAAAAAAAACGGAAAAUAAAAAAAAGUGGGCAAAAAAAUCGGGGGAAAAAAAGAACAAAAAAAAAGAAAAAAAAAACGAAAAAUGGGAAUAAAAUUGGGGAAAGGGGUUUGGAACCCUUGACAUUAAUACAAUGAGAAUGUAGUUCUACCACUGGACCAAACAACAUUUAUAAAUUUAAUGAAAAAAUGUACUCCCUCC